GUCUCCCCUCCACCGAGCACCCCACCUCAACCACUCCCUCCUUUAUCUUUCGGCCUGGAAAACCCUAGCCUCCACCAACCCUCCUCUCCUUCCCCUCUCAGGCCGCCACCAUUUUCUUUUCCCUUGUUCGUUUCCCUUUCUCUGUUCUCUGUGAGGAAACGAGCAUGCACACCACCACUGCCUCGCCAUCGCCCCGCCAUCUCCGGCCGCCCCUCGCCAAACUGAGAGUACCCAGAGAACCGCAUCGUCGAGCUCUACCUUCUGGUGCAAGGAAUCGCUCCAAGAGGCUCUCAAUCGAACACACGUUCGCCGUUCCCCCGCCAUGCCCGGCGCGCUCCGGUGAGAAAUCCGUCGCCGUCCGACCUCCUCCGGCCUCACCAACUCCUCCACGUCCUUCCUGAUGUUCCCGUCGGCGUUGCUAUGGUGGUUCCCCGGCUCCAAGUUCAUCGUUGGCCGAUUCCCCUUCAUCUUAUGCGUCGAACGCGCCCGCUCUUGUGUCGUUGUUCGCUCUACAUCGCGAGAUCCAUGCUCGACUGGAGCUCAGGCAUGGCCUUUUUCCCGUCUCAGAUCUCCGUUUUGUUUUGGGACAAAACGACGUACACUACUUCCUAAUCAACAUCUGAUGCAGCAAUUCAUUGAGCUGGCGUUCCAUGGGCCUCAGCCCAGUCUGAUCCGGUGCAGUCUAUCGCCCGCGCGCAACCAGAAGCUAUCCGCCGCCAUCUCACCUCAGCAUUUGCUUCUUCCCGGAUAGGAACGCGAAGUGGUGAUGUGAGAUACGACGAGUUCUCCGACAAGUUCUUCUGCAGCUUUCUACAGGCGAGCCCUCUCUCUUCACCUAUUUACUCUCUCCCUCGCACUGCUAUCCUUAUGUUGCGAUUCUUUAUCGAGUCACGUGUCCUAUCCACUUGUGUACCAUAAUAAUCCUAUAUGUAUCAUUCCUUACCCAUAGCCGUUGCUUGAUGUUUGAGCCUUGCGAGUCGUAGGCGUGUUUAGGCUCUGUUGUUUACUAGGACAAAACCCGUGCGUUGCUACGACGGCACAUAAAAAAAAAUAAACAACCCAUUAAUUUUUAAAGAUUCAUAUGGUAGUCGAAUCAAAAUAGCAUGGGGCCGUUAUUGCCUUGUCACAAAAAUCACAAAACAUUCUAAUGGAUGAAAAACAAGCUAUUUUGCGCCACCACCAUGAUAGUUAACUCGCACUCUGCACAACUAUUGUUUGUCCGCCGCUCCGACAACCUCUGGAUCACCAUGGUGUCACCUCGUGGUUGCUCCAGGCGAGGGAGCAAGGGAGCCUCUCUUCCCACGACGGACUCUCGGAGGAAGAUGAGUAUGAUUUCUUCCACUUGGAAGGCCAAUUCAUGGUAGAUAGUUAAUGCGAUCAUUAUAUUAUAUUAUUAUAUUUCUUUAAAGAAAUCCCUGAGCUAAAUUUUGGGUAAUAGUGAUGCUUUCUUUCUCAUCCCCUCACGAGCACAUAUUUUACACCUCCAUUUUUCCCUUUGAUGCAUAUGCUUAUAUGAAUAUAUUAGUUACACACUUGCAAGUUGAAAUAACAUCAUCACUUUGACACGUAAUAAUUUAAUCUUCCAUUAUUAUCUACAAUCAUUUGAGUACAAAAUUUGAGUCAAGAUAUAUAUUAGCAGUACCUCCGUUUCAUAAAACAAGGCGUAUAUUUUUUAGUCAAAAUUCAACGCUUUGUGAAUACACGAUAAAAAUAUCGUGUGUAUGCUGAAUCUCUUGAUAUGAAUUUGGUAUAGUAUAUGUUCAUGUAUCCGUGUAUAAAAUUAAAUAAACUUUAAAGAUGUUGACUUUUGACUAAAAGUAUACACUUGUAGUAGAUUAUGACCAGACAAAAAUCCCCAGUUUUUUGUUCUUAGUGUUGUUCUCAAACUCGGCAGCGCUUGGUGAUAAUUUAAUUAACUACCAUGUCGAUCGGCUCAAGUCUUAACAACACCUCAUUGCUGCUCCUUUGGUCAAUUUGCAUACGCCUGCUUGGUCCAUUUACAUUUAGGCAGUGUCAGAUCCACUUGAAAAAGGAGAAAUUGUAGGGGCAAAUCCGUGGUGAAGUGGGCGCUAGCUAUGCCCAAACUACCGUUGCAGGUGAGGUGGCGCUGGAGCUGGGAAUCCAGGACGACAAUUCCUUCAUCGGCGAGAGUUGGAGAUAAUGCAUUUUUUCCUGAUGGCCUUAGAGCAUCAGCUUAAUCAAGAAUAAAAGAGCAGCAGGAGAGCGCUUCUAAAGCACCAGGGCGGCGAACCUCCAUGUGCAGCGGCAUAAGUAGACUAAAAAAUGAAUGGAAUUCCUCCAAAUCUCCUUGUCGCACUUGCUAUGCAUCCAAUCUCUCUUUUCUCUCUCUGUUUCUUCUGCGUCUCCCGGGGACCGGAUCUAUCGGCCCCUACAUCCAAUGGGAGAUCUUGGCCUAGAGAGGGGAGUGCAGAUGACGCGCUGCACCAUGAGGCUCCCGAAGCAGCGGGGACACCAGAUCCGUACCUUGGGCGUCGAGAAGUCGGCAGUUCCACACUGUAACCCAGCCCCUGCCGCCAUGGAUGCCGCUGCCAUCUGCGGUGGAGCACCGGUAAAAGAUGAAGACGCGGCGGCAAGGAUGUGGGGCGGUGAUUCGGGCGAUGUUGGGGAUGUGAGGGAAGCGCGGGUAGCCGACGUCGCCGAAAGACAGCAGCGCGCGGAGGCGACGGCCGAGGCGCGGUCAGGCGGCGAGCGUUUUCCGUGCGGGAGGGAAGAGAGAAAAACAGAACGAACCGGUACCGUGUCAAUGUGCUGUAUUAUGCGAUUUAGUGGGAGGGCAAAAUCGUCUAAUAGAAAGUUGGACGAACGACCGAGGGAGAAACCCUUUUGCUUUUAUUAUUAGGUAUAGAUCUCGAUCUGUUAUCGGGAUAUGUUGGGUUG
Long non-coding RNA from Lolium perenne, 2898 nucleotides. RefSeq lists it as uncharacterized. The record is from RefSeq and is a predicted model, not a curated record. Lineage: Eukaryota; Viridiplantae; Streptophyta; Magnoliopsida; Poales; Poaceae.